RNAcentral lists this non-coding RNA (23 nucleotides) under Cricetulus griseus (Chinese hamster). Lineage: Eukaryota; Metazoa; Chordata; Mammalia; Rodentia; Cricetidae. The record is from RNAcentral.
GGAAGAGAUCCAGUCGGUGGAAG